RNAcentral lists this long non-coding RNA (813 nucleotides) under Homo sapiens (human). Lineage: Eukaryota; Metazoa; Chordata; Mammalia; Primates; Hominidae. The record is from RNAcentral.
GCGUGCCCAGUAGGGCUGGGACCUUGUACUGAGCCCCUGUGGACUUUCUAGUUGUGCGGCCUCCCAGGUGAUACUCCAGGAGACGCUACUGCGCCUGGCAUCUGUCAUCAUUUGCAGAGAACGAGCCUGUAGCUGUGUGGGACUCAGGGAGGCCUCAGGACAGUGAGUAGUACAGCAGAGAUCUGAAUCCAGCACUGUCUGCUCGCAACCACCAGGCCAUGCUCUUUCUUUCGCCCACCACCUCUCCCCCAGGAAAGAGCCAGCAGAUCAGGAUCUCCCUGCUACUCACACUGUGAAGACGGAAGCGAGAGAGAGCCACUUUGCGUGUGGCUGGCUUCAGAAGUCAGAACAGGCUGGGGAGGUUCCUAAGUGACUGCACUGGAGCUUCUGAGCCUACUCUGGCUUAGGAGGCUGGCUGAUUCAUGACUCAUUAAUUGCGCAGUUAGACUCCUUUAAAUUUAAUUUGGCUGAAGUUUUUCUUUUAUCAACGGUCACCUGGCUCCAAGGGCUACCAGUCCAGCAGGUGCAGAUGACAGUGGCCCUAGGCAUAAAGCAUCGGCUGAGCAAGAGACUGCUGAGGACAUUUCAGGUGUGACAUUAUUAGUAACAGGUCGUGGAGCUGCUUCCUCCAAACUACCAUCAUGAAACACAGUUUAAAAACCCAUGCCUGAGGGAAGGCCGAAUUAUCUUUUUCUUUUCUUUGGAAGAGUAAUUUUAUAAAAUCAUUAUUACAUGAAGAGGUGAUCACAGAGUAUGGGUCAGAAAUGUUAAAAUAUAGGAAAAAAAUGUGUCAGUAUCAUAGAGGUGUGUAAG